AGAGGGUGCGAGCGUUAAUCGGAAUUACUGGGCGUAAAGGGUGCGUAGGCGGAUAAUUAAGUUGGAUGUGAAAGCCCUGGGCUUAACCUAGGAAUGGCAUGCGAUACUGAUAAUCUAGAGUACAGUAGAGGAGAGCGGAAUUUCCGGUGUAGCGGUGAAAUGCGUAGAUAUCGGAAGGAACACCAGUGGCGAAGGCGGCUCUCUGGACUGAUACUGACGCUGAGGUACGAAAGCGUGGGGGGAGCAAACAGGAUUAGAUACCCUGGUAGUCCACGCCGUAAAUGGUGAGAACUAGCUGUUUGGAAAUUAUUCUGAGUGGCGUAGCAAACGCGCUAAGUUCUCCGCCUGGGAGUACGGCCGCAAGGUUA
RNAcentral lists this ribosomal RNA (368 nucleotides) under uncultured organism. RNAcentral's name for it is "partial 16S ribosomal RNA". It matches the Rfam family "Bacterial small subunit ribosomal RNA", at positions 527 to 896 of the family's 1533-position model. The record is from RNAcentral.